GAUGAACGCUGGCGGCGUGCUUAACACAUGCAAGUCGAACGAUGAAGCCCAGCUUGCUGGGUGGAUUAGUGGCGAACGGGUGAGUAACACGUGAGUAACCUGCCCUUAACUCUGGGAUAAGCCUGGGAAACUGGGUCUAAUACCGGAUAGGAGCGUCCACCGCAUGGUGGGUGUUGGAAAGAUUUAUCGGUUUUGGAUGGACUCGCGGCCUAUCAGCUUGUUGGUGAGGUAAUGGCUCACCAAGGCGACGACGGGUAGCCGGCCUGAGAGGGUGACCGGCCACACUGGGACUGAGACACGGCCCAGACUCCUACGGGAGGCAGCAGUGGGGAAUAUUGCGCAAUGGGCGAAAGCCUGACGCAGCAACGCCGCGUGCGGGAUGACGGCCUUCGGGUUGUAAACCGCUUUCAGCAGGGAAGAAGCCGCAAGGUGACGGUACCUGCAGAAGAAGCACCGGCUAACUUCGUGCCAGCAGCAGCCGCAG
This 484-nucleotide ribosomal RNA is filed under the name uncultured bacterium. Its description in RNAcentral is "partial 16S ribosomal RNA". It matches the Rfam family "Bacterial small subunit ribosomal RNA", at positions 28 to 523 of the family's 1533-position model. The record is from RNAcentral.